UACGUAGGGGGCAAGCGUUGUCCGGAUUUAUUGGGCGUAAAGAGCGUGUAGGCGGUUUGGUAGGUCCGUUGUGAAAACUCGAGGCUCAACCUCGAGACGCCGGCGGAAACCAUCAGGCUAGAGUCCGGAAGAGGAGAGUGGAAUUCCUGGUGUAGCGGUGAAAUGCGCAGAUAUCAGGAAGAACACCCGUGGCUAAGGCGGCUCUCUAGUACGGUACUGACGCUGAGGAGCGAAAGCGUGGGGAGCGAACAGG
This 253-nucleotide ribosomal RNA is filed under the name uncultured bacterium. RNAcentral's name for it is "partial 16S ribosomal RNA". It matches the Rfam family "Bacterial small subunit ribosomal RNA", at positions 524 to 776 of the family's 1533-position model. The record is from RNAcentral.